Molecule: long non-coding RNA, 665 nt
Filed under: Panax ginseng (ginseng)
Lineage: Eukaryota; Viridiplantae; Streptophyta; Magnoliopsida; Apiales; Araliaceae
Description: long non-coding RNA (PGIN_LNC017345)
Source: RNAcentral
GCUUGAAUAGAGAGAGAGAGAGAAAGAGGAAAAGAGUGAGAGAAUAUCUGACAGACACAAUACUAGUAACAAGACCAAAGUGCAUGCUGUAUUCUACUGUACUCUGCUGUGCUGUGGACCAUCAUUUUUCUUGAUCACUUUAAUUCCCACCCCAACACACACAAAAAGAAAAAUUAAUGCCUUCAGAAUCUUCUGAUCACUCAUGCUAUUAAACAUCUGUAAACCUUGUUAAUUGUUUGUCUCAUGUUUGUUUCAUAAAUCUAAACCCAGAUUAAUUAAUUAAGUUGCAUAUAUAUAUAUAUAUAUAUAUAUAUAUAUAUAUGAAUUAAGUUGUAGGAAAUUUCCAGGCAGUGAGGGUAAAGCUAGUCCCAUCACCAGGCAGGCAUGCAUCAGAAUCUUAGGUGGUAGUGGAGCAAUGCGCAGCAGAGGACAAACAUAAACUUGUCGGGCAUCUUCAACUGUAAUGUAACUCUCUCACUCUCUUCUUCAUCUUACUGCAGCUCCACCAAAGUCAUCACUCUUAUCUUACCCUUUUAUUCCACACUUGCCAUAAAAACAAAUUAAGAAGAAACAAAAAGCGCCCCAUCAUCAAACUCUCCCCCUAUAUAUAUAUUCAUAACCCACCUCCGGAGUCUAACUUAAUCCUUUCUCUUUCUUCAUCCAUC